Molecule: ribosomal RNA, 495 nt
Filed under: uncultured bacterium
Lineage: Bacteria
Description: partial 16S ribosomal RNA
Rfam family: Bacterial small subunit ribosomal RNA
Source: RNAcentral
GACGAACGCUGGCGGCGUGCCUAAUACAUGCAAGUAGAACGCUGAAGGACGAGCUUGCUUCUCUGGAUGAGUUGCGAACGGGUGAGUAACGCGUAGGUAACCUGCCUGGUAGCGGGGGAUAACUAUUGGAAACGAUAGCUAAUACCGCAUAAUAGCAGUUGUUGCAUGACAACUGUUUGAAAGGUGCAAUUGCACCACUACCAGAUGGACCUGCGUUGUAUUAGCUAGUUGGUGGGGUAACGGCUCACCAAGGCGACGAUACAUAGCCGACCUGAGAGGGUGAUCGGCCACACUGGGACUGAGACACGGCCCAGACUCCUACGGGAGGCAGCAGUAGGGAAUCUUCGGCAAUGGACGGAAGUCUGACCGAGCAACGCCGCGUGAGUGAAGAAGGUUUUCGGAUCGUAAGGCUCUGUUGUAAGAGAAGAACGAGUGUGAGAGUGGAAAGUUCACACUGUGACGGUAUCUUACCAGAAAGGGACGGCUAACUACGUG